GCCUUCGUGGUGUAGUGGUCAGCCCGCUCGACUCGUAACCGAGGAGUCCGUGGUUCGAUUCUCGGAGAAAGCA
Molecule: transfer RNA, 73 nt
Filed under: Stegodyphus mimosarum
Lineage: Eukaryota; Metazoa; Arthropoda; Arachnida; Araneae; Eresidae
Rfam family: tRNA
About the family: Transfer RNA (tRNA) molecules are approximately 80 nucleotides in length. Their secondary structure includes four short double-helical elements and three loops (D, anti-codon, and T loops).
Source: Rfam by way of RNAcentral